GCGAGGCCGAAAGGCGUAGUCGAUGGGAAACGGGUUAAUAUUCCCGUACUUCUUACAAUUGCGAUGGGGGGACGGAGAAGGCUAGGUGGGCCUGGCGACGGUUGUCCAGGUUCAAGUGCGUAGGCUUGAGAGUUAGGUAAAUCCGGCUCUUUCUAAGGCUGAGACACGACGUCGAGCACCUACGGGUGUGAAGUCAUUGAUGCCAUGCUUCCAGGAAAAGCCUCUAAGCUUCAGAUUGUAAGGAAUCGUACCCCAAACCGACACAGGUGGUCGGGUAGAG
This 280-nucleotide ribosomal RNA is filed under the name Vibrio parahaemolyticus. RNAcentral's name for it is "partial 23S ribosomal RNA". It matches the Rfam family "Bacterial large subunit ribosomal RNA", at positions 1396 to 1676 of the family's 2925-position model. Lineage: Bacteria; Pseudomonadati; Pseudomonadota; Gammaproteobacteria; Vibrionales; Vibrionaceae. The record is from RNAcentral.